This 109-nucleotide small RNA is filed under the name Bacillus sp. THAF10. RNAcentral's name for it is "BsrF". It matches the Rfam family "BsrF". The record is from RNAcentral. Lineage: Bacteria; Bacillati; Bacillota; Bacilli; Caryophanales; Bacillaceae.
GCGAUGAGCUGAAUUGUGUAAGUCGAUGAACACGCUAUUUGAGCAAGGCAUGAAUGUGGUCAUGCUGUUCAUCGCCUCAAUACGCAAGAAGGCACCUACCUCAGGUGCC